UCAUUUCCGCUACUCUAUCUCUAACUUUCUUUCUCCUUUCACUUUAUUCACAGAGAAAACAUCCCAACAAUCCCAUCAAAAUUCAUCAGAUUUGAAAAUCAAGAAUGAUAAAAGAAUGAAGAAAACCCAAUUUUUGUUUCCAUUUCCUUAUCCCUUUGUACUCAUGAUAAAGCAAAAACGAUGAUGACGUUGUAGGAGGAGAUACAAUAGUCAUAGAGAUCCAAAUCUAAGAAGUUAAGGAAAUCAAUUGUGAAGAAUAAACUGUUAUUGAAGUAGAUCAUGAUACCAUUGAUUUUCUUGUGCUUUGGGUAUGGAUGUUAAUCGCCCCUGUAAGUAGAUUGAAGAAAUUGGAAGGCACGAUUUCAUUAAACAUCUUGUGAUUUUUUUUUUCAUUGGAAUGAAAUUUGUGAUUUUGAAUUUAGGUGUUUUUUCUUUUCCUGUGUAGAUUCUUAAAGAAAUUUUGUUCAAUUAAGUUGUUAAGAAUUGCGAGGAAUAAAAAGGAAAAUGUAAGCAUUUGGGUCGAGUUUGAAUCUCCUGAGGUUUGUACUUAUACUUACUCUUUGUGUUUUCCUUCUAUUUACAACUUGUUUCAAGUUUGUGUUGUUUUAAUGAAUGUAAUUAUAAAACGUAGGUUGCAAAGAUUGUUGUAGUCUGUAUGCAUUAAUUUGUCUGCUCUUUGAGCACUUGUUGCAAGUUCAUAUUAUUCAAACAGAAAAAGUUCAUCCUUAAGGCUAAGUCCUAUGGGUUUAGAUAUCUAGCCGAUAGAUUGGCCAUCCACGUCAGUUAGGGAAACCUCCUAAGUCCCUAUGGGAUGGCUAAUCUAGCAGCUAGAUUAGAAGACCACGUCAGCGGGACCACCAUCUAGCGCUGUAAAUCUCAGCAGUUAGAUCAGAAAAUUUUCUCUCAGCGUUCUGAAUGGUUCAGCGUUUUGGUUACUUUUUGAGCGCUGAACGGUUCAACUUUUAAAACUAGAUGCUAGUUGAACUGCGAGCAAAUGUUAGGAGAGAGAAGUAACAGGUACAUGUGUUAACUUUUUUCUCACACUUAUUUUUUGAUUUGCAACACUUUUUGGCCAAUCUAACAGCUCAAUCUAGUCCAUAGGACUUGGCCUGAUUGUAAGCAGUUAUUUCUGUUUGCUUAGUACUUGUUACAAUAUAAAAGGUUGUACUAGAUUUGAAGCUUUUACCAUGUGCAUUGGGAAUACCGAAUACAAACUUAUAUAAUUUUUAUAUAACAAACCAUCUCAAGUCAUAUUUCUACCACAAUCCAUGAAUAGCAGAACUAAAGCAGAAUUCCCAAGAUAUUUUCAUUUCACUCUUACUUGUUUAUG
Molecule: long non-coding RNA, 1330 nt
Organism: Papaver somniferum (opium poppy)
Lineage: Eukaryota; Viridiplantae; Streptophyta; Magnoliopsida; Ranunculales; Papaveraceae
Exons: 3
Source: RefSeq, a predicted model, not a curated record